Molecule: non-coding RNA, 30 nt
Filed under: Homo sapiens (human)
Lineage: Eukaryota; Metazoa; Chordata; Mammalia; Primates; Hominidae
Source: RNAcentral
CCUGUAAAAUGGUGGAUUUGGACUAUGUGA